UUCAUCUUCAUCCUGAGUACAUGUAAACUGCGUUAAUAGCAAUGUAUCGCAUGUCACCUCGUUGGAAUCAAACGGAUCCUCCACUGUUGUUGAUACAGUAUUAGAUUAUUAGAGCACGACCGGCCUCGACAAUGUGUACAUGGCAGAGAACAAAACAGUUCGGCUUUUUUGCAACCACAUUUAGCACUGCACCCCUUUCUGCAGUUGCAAAAAAUUGUGUUCAACAAUUUUUUCGGCGCAGGUGAAAGUAAAGUUUGGAGUGGUUUUAAUGAAUUGUUGACCAACUUCCAAUCCCAAUCUGUAGGGUCUAGCUGAUAACCAAAAGCCACACUUGAAAUUGGUAAUAUACCCGAAAAAGAUGUAGAUGAGAAGCAACUGAGAUUAGAGGAAGACAAGCAGUAACAUUAUCAAGUCACAACCCUAUAGAGAGAUGCUAGGGAUUAAGAUUCCAAUUAUAAAUAUAAUAAGUACGUUAUUCCAACUCAUGUUUUUUAUGUACCGUUACAAAAAUAUUUUUGAACAAUUUAUAGCUCAAGACUUUUUAAUACUAUUCAUCUAAGAGGAAUAUAUUGGAAAAUAUGGAAAAAACCUUUUGAAUUUACCUAUUUCAUUGGGAGAAUGCCAGGGAUUAAGAAUCCCAUGUGAGUACAAUAAUGUGAUUAAAAGUUUUGGUCCA
Molecule: long non-coding RNA, 676 nt
Organism: Leptinotarsa decemlineata (Colorado potato beetle)
Lineage: Eukaryota; Metazoa; Arthropoda; Insecta; Coleoptera; Chrysomelidae
Source: RefSeq, a predicted model, not a curated record